This 695-nucleotide ribosomal RNA is filed under the name uncultured bacterium. RNAcentral's name for it is "bacterial SSU rRNA". It matches the Rfam family "Bacterial small subunit ribosomal RNA", at positions 8 to 700 of the family's 1533-position model. The record is from RNAcentral.
AGAGUUUGAUCCUGGCUCAGAUUGAACGUUGGCGGCAUGCCUUACACAUGCAAGUCGAACGGUAACAGGUCUUCGGAUGCUGACGAGUGGCGAACGGGUGAGUAAUACAUCGGAACGUGCCCGAGAGUGGGGGAUAACGAAGCGAAAGCUUUGCUAAUACCGCAUACGAUCUCAGGAUGAAAGCAGGGGACCGCAAGGCCUUGCGCUCACGGAGCGGCCGAUGGCAGAUUAGGUAGUUGGUGGGAUAAAAGCUUACCAAGCCGACGAUCUGUAGCUGGUCUGAGAGGACGACCAGCCACACUGGGACUGAGACACGGCCCAGACUCCUACGGGAGGCAGCAGUGGGGAAUUUUGGACAAUGGGCGCAAGCCUGAUCCAGCCAUGCCGCGUGCAGGAUGAAGGCCUUCGGGUUGUAAACUGCUUUUGUACGGAACGAAAAGACUCUGGUUAAUACCUGGGGUCCAUGACGGUACCGUAAGAAUAAGCACCGGCUAACUACGUGCCAGCAGCCGCGGUAAUACGUAGGGUGCGAGCGUUAAUCGGAAUUACUGGGCGUAAAGCGUGCGCAGGCGGUUAUAUAAGACAGAUGUGAAAUCCCCGGGCUCAACCUGGGAACUGCAUUUGUGACUGUAUAGCUAGAGUACGGCAGAGGGGGAUGGAAUUCCGCGUGUAGCAGUGAAAUGCGUAGAUAUGCG